Molecule: ribosomal RNA, 483 nt
Filed under: uncultured bacterium
Lineage: Bacteria
Description: partial 16S ribosomal RNA
Rfam family: Bacterial small subunit ribosomal RNA
Source: RNAcentral
GACGAACGCUGGCGGCGUGCUUAACACAUGCAAGUCGAACGGUGAAAGCGGAGCUUGCUCCGCUGGAUCAGUGGCGAACGGGUGAGUAACACGUGGGCAACCUGCCCCUGACUUCGGGAUAACUCCUCGAAAGAGGUGCUAAUACCGGAUACGAAUCCUGCAGGCAUCUGCGGGAUUGGAAAGUUUUUCGGUCAGGGAUGGGCCCGCGGCCUAUCAGCGUGUUGGUGAGGUAGUGGCUCACCAAGGCGACGACGGGUAGCCGGCCUGAGAGGGCGACCGGCCACACUGGGACUGAGACACGGCCCAGACUCCUACGGGAGGCGGCAGUGGGGAAUAUUGCGCGAUGGGCGAAAGCCGGACGCAGCAGCGCCGCGUGAGUGAUGACGGCCUUCGGGUUGUAAACCUCUUACAGCAGGGAAGAAGCGAAAGUGACGGUACCUGCAGAAGAAGCACCGGCUAACUACGUGCCAGCAGCCGCCGCCG